ACAUUGGUGGUUCAGUGGUAGAAUUCUCACCUUCUAUGCGGGAGACCCAAGUUCGAUUCCCGACCAAUGCA
This is a transfer RNA of Loxodonta africana (African savanna elephant), 71 nucleotides long. It matches the Rfam family "tRNA". From Rfam's summary of the family: Transfer RNA (tRNA) molecules are approximately 80 nucleotides in length. Their secondary structure includes four short double-helical elements and three loops (D, anti-codon, and T loops). The record is from Rfam. Lineage: Eukaryota; Metazoa; Chordata; Mammalia; Proboscidea; Elephantidae.